UGGUACCUGCUGUGUACGUGAUGACGCGAAAUUGUUUUGAGCCAACACCCACAUAAAGGGAAUCGGAAUGUGGUGUUGAUGUGAUAGGCUGGAGCCAAGACUGAUACAACACUAGGGUUCCCACCUGCGAAAGCAGGUUCAAAACCAAGCGCACACGCCAUAGCGGGUAACUU
This 173-nucleotide non-coding RNA is filed under the name Chloroflexota bacterium. RNAcentral describes it as "Chloroflexi bacterium 6S RNA". It matches the Rfam family "6S / SsrS RNA". From Rfam's summary of the family: E. coli 6S RNA was the first non coding RNA to be sequenced, but its function was unknown until recently. It consists of 184 nucleotides that fold into an extended hairpin structure with a large single-stranded internal bulge. The 6S RNA specifically associates with RNA polymerase holoenzyme containing the sigma70 specificity factor. The record is from RNAcentral. Lineage: Bacteria; Bacillati; Chloroflexota.